UCGUGCUAAGCGGGGAGCUAGCGGUGCCCUGUACUCGCAAACCGCUCUAGCGGGGCUGAAGUCCCCCUCGAGGCCCAACCCUGUGGGACUGUGCGGAUAAGUGGUGAUGAAGGUCAGGUCCUGCGCGGCGCAGGCCUGUGAAUCCGGUCAGAUCCGGAAGGAAGCAGCCGUAAACGGUACCCUGUGGGUGACGUGGGGCUGCCUGGCUGGAGCUAACUACCCGUUGCAAGCUGGAGGAUUGUGGUCGACAGGUGGGUGCACGG
This 263-nucleotide signal recognition particle RNA is filed under the name Chloroflexia bacterium. Its description in RNAcentral is "signal recognition particle sRNA large type". It matches the Rfam family "Bacterial large signal recognition particle RNA". From Rfam's summary of the family: The signal recognition particle (SRP) is a universally conserved ribonucleoprotein involved in the co-translational targeting of proteins to membranes. Lineage: Bacteria; Bacillati; Chloroflexota; Chloroflexia. The record is from RNAcentral.